Molecule: unclassified non-coding RNA, 409 nt
Filed under: Hevea brasiliensis (rubber tree)
Lineage: Eukaryota; Viridiplantae; Streptophyta; Magnoliopsida; Malpighiales; Euphorbiaceae
Source: RNAcentral
GGACAAGAUUCUCAUCUAGUCCACACAACCAUUCAGUUUUGUUUUCUGCUUUCAAGGAUUAUUACCAGGCAUGGCUUGGGCUAAUGGACAGAUCAGAAGGGGAGACGGACGCUUCUCAAAUCGCUUGCAAUUGCGAAGCUCAGCAUAGAUAUUUGACAUGGAGAUCAGAAAAGGAUCCAGGACAUGGAGUUUUGAAAAGACUGAUAGGGGAAGAUCUUGCCAAGGAUGUCAUUACGAAAUUUCUAUUCAAUGGUGUUAAUGAACUUGGGAACAAAACAUUUCUUGAUUACUUUCCAGAGUACAGAUGUGAAGAUGGUAAAGUAAACGAAAAGCGCAGUAUGAUUGGCAAAUCAUUCGAAAAUCGACCAUGGAAUGCAAGAGGAGAAUUCAUAGGCGAUAGAGUUGAGAU